UUCCAAAUCAUACAAAAUUUACAUCCAAUUUAUAUCCAAAAACCUAAACUUCAUGAUCUUAGCCUCUAAAGCUCAAGUGACUUCGAAAGAAAAACUCUAAUUCCUAAUAAGGUCUCGGGCAGCCUCCUUGAAGCCCAUUGAGCAUGGCCUUCGACCAAUAGGAAUGAAGAACUCCAUUCCUUGCUUUCAUCUAAUCAUAUCUUGCUUUCAUAUCUUCCAAUAAACCUCCUACUAGUUAAGAUUUUCAUCUUUAGGUUCUAAUCUUGUUUCAAGGCUUCAUAUUCAAUACUUAGGUUCUAUAAUUUUUUUAAAUGUUA
Molecule: long non-coding RNA, 317 nt
Filed under: Physcomitrium patens
Lineage: Eukaryota; Viridiplantae; Streptophyta; Bryopsida; Funariales; Funariaceae
Description: long non-coding RNA (PPAT_LNC012441)
Source: RNAcentral